GAAAGAUGCUUAUGGGGAUGGACGACAUGUUAGCAUUGAUGUUGUUUCUUCAGCCUUUGAGGGACAGACGGCUGUGAAUAGGCAGAGGAUGGUAUACAAAGCUAUUUGGGAAGAGCUACAAAGCACAGUGCAUGCAGUGGAUCAAAUGACCACCAAAACACCUGCUGAAGCAGCAGCUCAGAAUUCAUAAGUCUCAAAGUUUAUCCAACCCUUCUUAUCUUUGC
RNAcentral lists this unclassified non-coding RNA (224 nucleotides) under Hevea brasiliensis (rubber tree). Lineage: Eukaryota; Viridiplantae; Streptophyta; Magnoliopsida; Malpighiales; Euphorbiaceae. The record is from RNAcentral.